CGAUGAAAGACGUGGAAGCCUGCGAUAAGGUUCGGGGAGCUGGCAAACAAGCUGUGAUCCGGGCAUUUCUGAAUGGGGAAACCCACCGACUUUCGGGUCGGUAUCUUGCACUGAAUACAUAGGUGUAAGAGGCGAACCGGGGGAACUGAAACAUCUAAGUACCCCGAGGAAAAGAAAUCAACCGAGAUUCCCAAAGUAGUGGCGAGCGAAAUGGGAUGAGCCUGCAUGAUUUAGCACGACGCAUAGUGGAACAGCUUGGAAACGCUGGCCAUAGAGGGUGAUAGCCCCUUACACGAA
This 297-nucleotide ribosomal RNA is filed under the name uncultured Dinobryon. RNAcentral describes it as "partial Bacterial large subunit ribosomal RNA". It matches the Rfam family "Bacterial large subunit ribosomal RNA", at positions 47 to 383 of the family's 2925-position model. The record is from RNAcentral. Lineage: Eukaryota; Chrysophyceae; Chromulinales.